GACAGAGGUGCUUGCACCUCUCGAUUUUAGCGGCGGACGGGUGAGUAACACGUGGGUAACCUACCUAUAAGACUGGGAUAACUUCGGGAAACCGGAGCUAAUACCGGAUAAUAUUUAGCUUCGCAUGAAGCAAUAGUGAAAGACGGUUCUGCUGUCACUUAUAGAUGGACCUGCGGUGUAUUAGCUAGUUGGUGAGGUAACGGCUCACCAAGGCAACGAUACAUAGCCGACCUGAGAGGGUGAUCGGCCACACUGGGACUGAGACACGGCCCAGACUCCUACGGGAGGCAGCAGUAGGGAAUCUUCCGCAAUGGACGAAAGUCUGACGGAGCAACGCCGCGUGAGUGAAGAAGGUUUUCGGAUCGUAAAACUCUGUUGUAAGGGAAGAACAAGUACGUUAGUAACUGAACGUACCUUGACGGUACCUUACCAGAAAGCCACGGCUAACUACGUGCCAGCAGCCGCGGUAAUACGUAGGUGGCAAGCGUUAUCCGGAAUUAUUGGGCGUAAAGCGCGCGUAGGCGGUCUCUUAAGUCUGAUGUGAAAGCCCCCGGCUCAACCGGGGAGGGUCAUUGGAAACUGGGAGACUUGAGUACAGAAGAGGAGAGUGGAAUUCCAUGUGUAGCGGUGAAAUGCGCAGAGAUAUGGAGGAACACCAGUGGCGAAGGCGGCUCUCUGGUCUGUAACUGACGCUGAGGUGCGAAAGCGUGGGGAUCAAACAGGAUUAGAUACCCUGGUAGUCCACGCCGUAAACGAUGAGUGCUAAGUGUUGGGGGGUUUCCGCCCCUCAGUGCUGCAGCUAACGCAUUAAGCACUCCGCCUGGGGAGUACGGUCGCAAGACUGAAACUCAAGGAAUUGACGGGGACCCGCACAAGCGG
This 879-nucleotide ribosomal RNA is filed under the name Macrococcoides caseolyticum. RNAcentral's name for it is "bacterial SSU rRNA". It matches the Rfam family "Bacterial small subunit ribosomal RNA", at positions 69 to 932 of the family's 1533-position model. The record is from RNAcentral. Lineage: Bacteria; Bacillati; Bacillota; Bacilli; Caryophanales; Staphylococcaceae.